Molecule: small RNA, 63 nt
Filed under: unclassified sequences
Description: Streptococcus sRNA SpF59 (ldcC RNA)
Rfam family: Streptococcus sRNA SpF59 (ldcC RNA)
Source: Rfam by way of RNAcentral
CGACCGCAAACGGUGUCGUUCACCGGGAGCCAAGGCCAUACGGACAGCCGGGUCGAAUGCCGA